CUUAUUAAAACAUAUAGGCCUAUGGGCUAGGCUACAUGAGGUGUGAUACUAACAUUAUUAAAACAUAUAGGCCUAUGGGCUAGGCUACAUGAGGUGUGAUACUAACAUUAUUAAAACAUAUAGGCCUAUGGGCUAGGCUACAUGAGG
This is a long non-coding RNA of Oncorhynchus keta (chum salmon), 147 nucleotides long. RefSeq lists it as uncharacterized. NCBI's taxonomy places the organism in Eukaryota, Metazoa, Chordata, Actinopteri, Salmoniformes, Salmonidae. The record is from RefSeq and is a predicted model, not a curated record. The transcript has 3 exons.